RNAcentral lists this ribosomal RNA (385 nucleotides) under uncultured bacterium. RNAcentral's name for it is "bacterial SSU rRNA". It matches the Rfam family "Bacterial small subunit ribosomal RNA", at positions 355 to 737 of the family's 1533-position model. The record is from RNAcentral.
UGAGGAAUAUUGGACAAUGGGCGCAAGCCUGAUCCAGCCAUGCCGCGUGCAGGAAGAAGCAUCUAUGGUGUGUAAACUGCUUUUGUACGGGAAGAAACACUCCUUCGUGAAGGAGCUUGACGGUACCGUAAGAAUAAGGAUCGGCUAACUCCGUGCCAGCAGCCGCGGUAAUACGGAGGAUCCAAGCGUUAUCCGGAAUCAUUGGGUUUAAAGGGUCCGUAGGCGGUUUGGUAAGUCAGUGGUGAAAGCCCGCAGCUCAACUGUGGAACGGCCAUUGAUACUGCCAGACUUGAAUUACAAGGAAGUAACUAGAAUAUGUAGUGUAGCGGUGAAAUGCUUAGAUAUUACAUGGAAUACCAAUUGCGAAGGCAGGUUACUACUUGUG